RNAcentral lists this transfer RNA (76 nucleotides) under Datura stramonium (jimsonweed). Its description in RNAcentral is "tRNA-Phe". It matches the Rfam family "tRNA". From Rfam's summary of the family: Transfer RNA (tRNA) molecules are approximately 80 nucleotides in length. Their secondary structure includes four short double-helical elements and three loops (D, anti-codon, and T loops). Further hydrogen bonds mediate the characteristic L-shaped molecular structure. tRNAs have two regions of fundamental functional importance: the anti-codon, which is responsible for specific mRNA codon recognition, and the 3' end, to which the tRNAs corresponding amino acid is attached (by aminoacyl-tRNA synthetases). tRNAs cope with the degeneracy of the genetic code in two manners: having more than one tRNA (with a specific anti-codon) for a particular amino acid; and 'wobble' base-pairing, i.e. permitting non-standard base-pairing at the 3rd anti-codon position. Lineage: Eukaryota; Viridiplantae; Streptophyta; Magnoliopsida; Solanales; Solanaceae. The record is from RNAcentral.
GCCAAAGAAGCUUCUCAGUUGGUAGAGCAGAGGACUGAAAAUACUCGUGUCACCAGUUCAAAUCUGGUUCCUGGCA